RNAcentral lists this ribosomal RNA (685 nucleotides) under Synechocystis sp. NR13(2012). RNAcentral describes it as "bacterial SSU rRNA". It matches the Rfam family "Bacterial small subunit ribosomal RNA", at positions 89 to 809 of the family's 1533-position model. Lineage: Bacteria; Bacillati; Cyanobacteriota; Cyanophyceae; Synechococcales; Merismopediaceae. The record is from RNAcentral.
CGCCCUUCUUCGGACGGGUGAGUAACGCGUGAGACGUUACCUUAGCACUGGUGCACCAGUUGGAAACGACUGCUAUACCCAAUGUGCCGAAAGGUGAAAGAUUUAUCGUCUGAAGAUGGGCUCGCGUCUGAUUAGCUAGAUGGUGGGGUAAGAGCCUACCAUGGCAACGAUCAGUAGCUGGUCUGAGAGGAUGAGCAGCCACACUGGGACUGAGACACGGCCCAGACUCCUACGGGAGGCAGCAGUGGGGAAUUUUCCGCAAUGGGCGAAAGCCUGACGGAGCAAUACCGCGUGAGGGAGGAAGGUCCUUGGAUUGUAAACCUCUUUUAUCAGGGAAGAAGUUCUGACGGUACCUGAUGAAUAAGCAUCGGCUAACUCCGUGCCAGCAGCCGCGGUAAUACGGAGGAUGCAAGCGUUAUCCGGAAUUAUUGGGCGUAAAGCGUCCGUAGGUGGUUAUGCAAGUCUGCCGUUAAAGAAUGGAGCUUAACUCCAUAGGAGCGGUGGAAACUGCAAGACUAGAGUACAGUAGGGGUAGCAGGAAUUCCCAGUGUAGCGGUGAAAUGCGUAGAUAUUGGGAAGAACAUCGGUGGCGAAAGCGUGCUACUGGGCUGAAACUGACACUGAGGGACGAAAGCUAGGGUAGCGAAAGGGAUUAGAUACCCCCUGUAGUCAAAAAGUUAAUUCC